GAAAUGAGGAUGGAAGAGUGUGCAGAGCCUGAGACACUUCAAUGCCAGGUCCAGAAGCUUGCAGUUUCUCUUCAAGGCCACAAGGAGCCAUAGAAGGUUAUAGAGCAGGGGAGUGCAGCACCAUCAGAGCUGCAAUUGAGCUCCAGGCCUCAGGUGUGUAGCAGACAAAGGCACCCCUAAUUCAAGGGGUGAAUCAGGCAUGGUCUCUACCCUUGCAGAGAGUUUGGGUACCUGAGCCCAUGGGGGACUGGGAAGCUGCUUCCCCACCCCAGUUUCCUCAUCAGCAAAAUGGACCCAGGUAUGUGAUGUAGCAUUUCCUGACCCAAGGGACCCAACAAACAGCUGCGAUAGGAUUUUGGAGGGACCUGUACCCGCACCUCCACCUUCACAAGUUGUGCAUUUAUUUCAUGGUUUAAUGACUUCACCUUCUUUUGGACUUUUAUAUUAUGAAAAAUUUCAAACCUAUAGAAAAGUAGACAGAAUAGUAUCAUGAAUACCCACAUACCUAUCACCCAGAUUUAAUAAAUCUUAACAUUUUGUCAUGCUUCA
Molecule: long non-coding RNA, 549 nt
Filed under: Homo sapiens (human)
Lineage: Eukaryota; Metazoa; Chordata; Mammalia; Primates; Hominidae
Description: novel transcript, sense intronic to KIAA1755
Source: RNAcentral